GACGAACCGUGCGAACGUUGUUCGGAAUCACUGGGCUUAAAGGGCGCGUAGGCGGCCCCGCCAGUCUCGGGUGAAAUCUUCCGGCCCAACCGGAAAAGUGCCCGGGAUACUGCGGGGCUCGAGCGAGGCAGGGGCGGGGGGAACUUCCGGUGGAGCGGUGAAAUGCGUUGAUAUCGGGAGGAACGCCGGUGGCGAAGGCGGCACGCUGGGCCUCUACUGACGCUGAGGCGCGAAAGCCAGGGGAGCGAACGGG
RNAcentral lists this ribosomal RNA (253 nucleotides) under uncultured bacterium. RNAcentral's name for it is "partial 16S ribosomal RNA". It matches the Rfam family "Bacterial small subunit ribosomal RNA", at positions 524 to 776 of the family's 1533-position model. The record is from RNAcentral.